Molecule: long non-coding RNA, 732 nt
Organism: Alnus glutinosa
Lineage: Eukaryota; Viridiplantae; Streptophyta; Magnoliopsida; Fagales; Betulaceae
Exons: 6
Source: RefSeq, a predicted model, not a curated record
CAGGAAUGAGGCAGUAGCCUCAUUCCUUCUCUGCAAGUUGAAAAAAAAAAAAAAGAGAACAGGGAGGGAGUUCUCUUAAGCACUUUUAUACAAAAUUUGCGAUCUAUGAAGAUCCAACGGUCGGAUCUUCAAUCCGUUUUCGGAAACGUGAUCUUUGCACUCGGAUCUACGUUCUUACCGAUUGUUUUAAAGUAUUUGAGCUUAUUGGAGCUUACUUGAGGCUACCCAAACUUUGGGUCGAAGUUUGGUGAAUUUGGCGACACUUUGUGGAUUGAGCCUAGGACUUGUUAGUGUUGGUGUGCAAGCAGUCAGGUACACCUGACUUAGAGGAGGACCCCGUAGCUGCGUAUUUGGGAUAUUACGAUUGAAGCACACCGCGACAGUUGUAUUGAGCUGGACUAUGGAGUUCACUCUUUGGGCAUGAAGCCCAACAUAUGGGCAUCCCACUAGUAUCGUCAAAACCAAAAAGGUUUCUAGGUAGGAGGACGGGGAGAACAAUAAUUGGAGGAUUGCAACAUGUUGACGACUUUAACAUUGAAUCAGAAACAAGUCGACAUGCAGCCACUCAGUAGGAAUGUGACAGUUUAUUUUUUGUGAAAGAAUAUGUGGGGUUUGUAACCAUUUUUUUUGUGAAAGUUUCUUUGUCAAGGAACAAAAUGUCAAAUAUUAUAAUGCAUAUGUGAUAGUUUUUUGUGGAAUCCUGUUUGUAACCCAUAUUUCUCAAUAGUUACC